GACGAACGCUGGCGGCGUGCUUAACACAUGCAAGUCGAACGGAAAGGCCCUGCUUUUGUGGGGUGCUCGAGUGGCGAACGGGUGAGUAACACGUGAGUAACCUGCCCUUGACUGUGGGAUAACUUCAGGAAACUGGGGCUCAUACCGGAUAGGAGCUCCUGCUGCAUGGUGGGGGUUGGAAAGUUUCGGCGGUUGGGGAUGGACUCGCGGCUUAUCAGCUUGUUGGUGGGGUAGUGGCUUACCAAGGCUUUGACGGGUAGCCGGCCUGAGAGGGUGACCGGCGACAUUGGGACUGAGAGACGGCACAGACUCCUACGGGAGGGCGAAGUGGGGAAGAUUGCACGAUGGGCGGAAGCCUGAUGCAGCAACGCCGCGUGCGGGAUGACGGCCUUAGGGUUGUAAACCGCUUUCGCAUGUGACGAAGCGUGAGUGACGGUAAUGGGUAAAGAAGCACCCGCUAACUACGUG
This 468-nucleotide ribosomal RNA is filed under the name uncultured bacterium. RNAcentral's name for it is "partial 16S ribosomal RNA". It matches the Rfam family "Bacterial small subunit ribosomal RNA", at positions 28 to 507 of the family's 1533-position model. The record is from RNAcentral.